This 24-nucleotide non-coding RNA is filed under the name Arabidopsis thaliana (thale cress). Lineage: Eukaryota; Viridiplantae; Streptophyta; Magnoliopsida; Brassicales; Brassicaceae. The record is from RNAcentral.
AGCCCUACUAUAUUAGAGACCGAC